RNAcentral lists this long non-coding RNA (1663 nucleotides) under Phoenix dactylifera (date palm). RNAcentral's name for it is "long non-coding RNA (PDAC_LNC000201)". The record is from RNAcentral. Lineage: Eukaryota; Viridiplantae; Streptophyta; Magnoliopsida; Arecales; Arecaceae.
GAUUUUUGGAGGUAUAUCAGGGCUGUGCCAGAUUGACAGGUGAGUGGAAGUUAUGUACUUUGCACUAUGAGCAUUCUUAAUUCAUUUUCAUAAAUGUCGCCAAGUGUGAAUUGAUUCCACUUGUGCAUAUUGAUUGAUGUUGUAGUAGAUUCCUCUAUAAUCUUGUUUCUUCAUGCUUGAUUAUUUUGUACAUGCAUUUGAGGGAACAUUGAGAGAAAUUACAAGGGAUAGAUGAGUAGUUAAAUUGGUUCCAAAUUGUGAAAUGACUUUUUUUGUAAAUUGAUUUCAUUUUCUCUAUUUCAAAAACUUGUAGAGCCUUUUCAGUUGUAUAUGGAGUUGCAUUGUACUCUCUUGACCCCUCACUCCUAAUCCUGAUGUUAGUUUAUGAUUGGGUCGUGAUCGAGUGAGUGGUAGUCUUGAUUAUACUCCUUUUUAGUAGAGUAUUGGGAGGGUGCAUUAUGGCAUUAUGCAUGGCUUGGCAGUAUCUACAGGACACUUAUAGUCGAUGGGGUUAGACAUCGGCCUGUGUGCACAUAGUAGCCUUCUGGAUAGGCGGAGCCCAGUCCCUUCCUAGGGGGGACACGGCCCUAGGCGUAGGAUCGGCCGGUCCUACGACGUAUAUUCUGCUUGCCGCCGGGCAUAGUAAGACCCCGUGAGGUGCUGUAUGGAUUUUCGUGGAUGUAGAAUUUCCGCGAGGUGCCAUUUAGUAUUCAGAUGUGAGAUGAGUCUCACGGUUUUCUAUGAAUUUCUAUUCUGGAUACUGGCCAACAUUUACAUGAUCAGUAUGGUGUCUUAUUUUGCUUAUGCAUAUGAUAGUAGGGAGUUGUUGUGGUUCGCCUGGGGCGUAAGACCCACCUCCCGACAGCUGUCUAGUGAUGACUUCGCAUAUUGAUACCCUGAUUUACAUAUUGGUGUUGUGUCAUAUUCUAUGCAUGCAUAUGGCAGUAGAGAGUUGUUGUGGUUCGCCUGGGGCAUAAGACCCAUCUCUCGAUAGCUAUUUAUCGAUGUUUCAGCAUAUUGACAUUCGAUUUGUAUGUUCCAGCAUUAUGAUUUGUCGAGCAUAUUCAUGAGUAGCAUAUAUGUUUACUUGAUUAUUCUAUAUAUGCUCCAGAUGAGUUGAUUGGGAUUGUGAUGAUUUACUCCAUAUUUCUUAUGUUGAGUUAUGUGUAUCCUAUUCUUGAUGAUUGCUUAUAUGCUCUUGAGAUUUCACCUCGAGCCAUGAUUAUAUCUUGUCUCAUGUGCAUAGUACUCUCUACUCCACUCACUGAGUAUUCAUAUACUCACUCCCCAGUUUGAUGUUUUUGAUUGCAGGGCAGGUAUUGUAUAGAGAAGAGCAGGAUUAGUGGUUGCCUGCUAGCUGUGCCACUCCAUAGUAUAGUAUAAUGUAGAUAGAGGUUUAUACCUUUUGGUGUAUUAUAAACCUUCUGUUGUAUAUAGUGUAUAGUUACAGUCAUAGAUCCUGUUGUGGAUAUGGAUUUGACCAUGGAUGGAAUGGGAACCAGAUUUUUAUACAGAUGAGUUAUAUGCAUGUGAUGAUGUAUUUAUAUAUAUUGUCCAGAUUCAUUAUAUGACAGAUUAUGUGAUUGCUGCUCUGACAGGUAGUGUUGUUGUAUGUAUUGAGAUAAUCCUGACAGGUCACCAUAGAAAAGGUGAUCAUUUUGUG